CGGUAGUCCACGCCGUAAACGAUGUCUACUAGCCGUUGGGAUCCUUGAGAUCUUAGUGGCGCAGCUAACGCACUAAGUAGACCGCCUGGGGAGUACGGUCGCAAGAUUAAAACUCAAAUGAAUUGACGGGGGCCCGCACAAGCGGUGGAGCAUGUGGUUUAAUUCGAAGCAACGCGAAGAACCUUACCUACUCUUGACAUCCACAGAACUUCUGAGAGAUCAGUUGGUGCCUUCGGGAACUGUGAGACAGGUGCUGCAUGGCUGUCGUCAGCUCGUGUUGUGAAAUGUUGGGUUAAGUCCCGUAACGAGCGCAACCCUUGUCCUUAGUUACCAUCAUUUAGUUGGGUACUUUAAGGAGACUGCCGGUGACAAACCGGAGGAAGGCGGGGACGACGUCAAGUCAUCAUGGCCCUUACGAGUAGGGCUACACACGUGCUACAAUGGGCUGGGUACAAAACGGGUUGCAAUCUCGCGAGGGGGGAGCUAAUCUGAAAAAGCCAGUCGUAGUCCGGAUCGGAGUCUGCAAC
RNAcentral lists this ribosomal RNA (527 nucleotides) under uncultured prokaryote. RNAcentral's name for it is "bacterial SSU rRNA". It matches the Rfam family "Bacterial small subunit ribosomal RNA", at positions 788 to 1311 of the family's 1533-position model. The record is from RNAcentral.